AUGCACUACCUUUGAGCCCCUGACGUGCCUCCUCAAGCCACAGGGGGUUAAAGCUGCAGCACCAUAGCAGGGCUAGCUCAUUACUGGAGCCACCUGCCCAUCACGGGCGGCCCUUUUAACCACCAGCUACAAGG
Small nucleolar RNA from Nannospalax galili (Upper Galilee mountains blind mole rat), 134 nucleotides. The record is from Ensembl. Lineage: Eukaryota; Metazoa; Chordata; Mammalia; Rodentia; Spalacidae.